AGCACACGUCCUUAAUAGAAACGGCUUUAUGCCGGAGGUUGAAAAGCGGGUGCAAUUUCCGGCGUGUGCA
The submitters of this non-coding RNA (70 nucleotides) gave its source as unclassified sequences. The record is from Rfam.